Molecule: long non-coding RNA, 307 nt
Organism: Saccostrea cuccullata (small rock oyster)
Lineage: Eukaryota; Metazoa; Mollusca; Bivalvia; Ostreida; Ostreidae
Exons: 3
Source: RefSeq, a predicted model, not a curated record
UAACAAACUCUCCCUAAGAUCUCAAUUUCUUUUUUUUUUUUAAUAAUAAUGAAAUUUCUCAUUUUUUCUCUGGUUCUAUUUUUCAAAGAAAUUUUCGUCAAUUCACGCUGUUCUGGGAAAAAUGGACUGGUUUGUUGCUCUGGUACUGUAUGGGACAAUUUAAAACAAGAGUGUGUUGAAUGCAAUCCAGGAUAUUACGGCUUGAAUUGCACUAGCGUAUGUCAGUACCCAACUUAUGGAAAGACUUGUAAGUUUAAGUGUUCUUGCAAUGAAGAGUUUUGUGAUAUUGCCUUUGGCUGUCCAAAAG